This 66-nucleotide transfer RNA is filed under the name Pristionchus pacificus. It matches the Rfam family "tRNA". Rfam says of the family: Transfer RNA (tRNA) molecules are approximately 80 nucleotides in length. Their secondary structure includes four short double-helical elements and three loops (D, anti-codon, and T loops). The record is from Rfam by way of RNAcentral. Lineage: Eukaryota; Metazoa; Nematoda; Chromadorea; Rhabditida; Neodiplogasteridae.
GGGGGUAUAGCUUAGAGCACCCGCAUACGUAUCGGAAGGUCGGGGGUUCGACUCCCUCUGCCUCCA